This 883-nucleotide long non-coding RNA is filed under the name Zonotrichia albicollis (white-throated sparrow). RNAcentral's name for it is "lncRNA (ENSZALG00000009806.1)". The record is from RNAcentral. Lineage: Eukaryota; Metazoa; Chordata; Aves; Passeriformes; Passerellidae.
GGAACAUCCAGUCCUGUGAGUCAGAGCGCUUCGGUGGCGCUUUCAGCGGCUGCUUCUGCCUCGCAACCGGCCCUGGUGCGUGUGCAGUUCUCAGGAGCAACUUGGGAGCUCCAGGCACAGGUCCCAGCUGCUGUGGUAGCUCUUUGAGGAGAUCAUCCAUUUCCUAGUGUCAGCAGGGCGAUCCCAGGGAUAACUUGGUGUUCCCUGAAUUGGAUGUGUACUUCUGGUGCCCGAAGGAUCAUCUUAGGCAUAGCACUGGAAAAGUCAGGAAUAAUCAAAAGAUAAGAGCACCAAGUGGGAGGAAGCUGGAAGGACAAUUUUUAGAUUUGACCUUGGGUUCCAGUUCUCAUGGUGGGUCUGUGGUGUCAAAGUACACCUGUACUCUGUGGUGCUGGGGUACCUGUUUGUUCAUGUUUUGAGCUUGGAAGACACACUGGACAUGAAAUUCCAGGGAAGCUGCACUUGCAGUAGUGGCUGGAGCAAGAAGAAGUGGAAGCUGUUUGCUAUCUGCUUGUUCUCCACCUUCAGCUCUGUUUCCUGGGUCUCAGGAAUUGUCUCAUUGUACAGUCUGUGGCGUAACACUUUCCGUGCAAGGAUAAUUGCAGUGGAAGAAGGCAGUUGGAGCCAAGAGCCUGGACUAGGAUGCCCUAGGCCCCUGCCAAGCGCAGGUUACAAAACAGCAAAAAAAAGUCAACAAAAACAAAACAUGUCAACAGACUGGGAGUAGCACAGAAGAUAUACAAAAGAUAAUGACCAGUAAUGAUCAUUAAUGAUCAUCAACUCCAAACAUCACCCCUGGUGAUGGAGUUGGAGACACCUGGUCUGGAAAAGACUCAUAAGAACACCAAGGAAUGAGCAAUAAAUUAGCAUCGGUGGGAAGACA